Molecule: ribosomal RNA, 513 nt
Filed under: uncultured bacterium
Lineage: Bacteria
Description: bacterial SSU rRNA
Rfam family: Bacterial small subunit ribosomal RNA
Source: RNAcentral
AUCUGGCUCAGGAUGAACGCUAGCUACAGGCUUAACACAUGCAAGUCGAGGGGCAGCAUGAUCGAAGCUUGCUUGAUUGAUGGCGACCGGCGCACGGGUGAGUAACGCGUAUCCAACCUUCCCUAUAGUAGAGGAUAGCCCGGCGAAAGUCGGAUUAAUACUCUAUGUUUUCCAAUGCAGACAUCUAAGUUGGAACAAAGGUUCACCGCUAUAGGAUGGGGAUGCGUCUGAUUAGGUUGUUGGCGGGGUAACGGCCCACCAAGCCUACGAUCAGUAGGGGUUCUGAGAGGAAGGUCCCCCACAUUGGAACUGAGACACGGUCCAAACUCCUACGGGAGGCAGCAGUGAGGAAUAUUGGUCAAUGGGCGAGAGCCUGAACCAGACCCAAGUAGCGUGCAGGAUGACGGCCCUAUGGGUUGUAAACUGCUUUUAUACGGGGAUAAAGUGAGGGACGUGUCCCUUUUUGUAGGUACCGUAUGAAUAAGGACCGGCUAAUUCCGUGCCAGCCGCCGC